RNAcentral lists this ribosomal RNA (488 nucleotides) under uncultured bacterium. Its description in RNAcentral is "partial 16S ribosomal RNA". It matches the Rfam family "Bacterial small subunit ribosomal RNA", at positions 28 to 507 of the family's 1533-position model. The record is from RNAcentral.
GACGAACGCUGGCGGCGUGCUUAACACAUGCAAGUCGAACGGAAAGGCCCUGCUUUUGUGGGGUGCUCGAGUGGCGAACGGGUGAGUAACACGUGAGUAACCUGCCCUUGACUUUGGGAUAACUUCAGGAAACUGGGGCUAAUACCGGAUAGGAGCUCCUGCUGCAUGGUGGGGGUUGGAAAGUUUCGGCGGUUGGGGAUGGACUCGCGGCUUAUCAGCUUGUUGGCGGGGUAGUGGCUUACCAAGGCUUUGACGGGUAGCCGGCCUGAGAGGGUGACCGGCGGAGCUGGAACUGAGACACGGGCCAGAGUCCUACGGGAGGCAGCGGUGGGGAAUGUUGGACAAGGGGCGCAAGCCUGAUCCAGCCAUACCGCGUGGGUGAAGAAGGCCUUCGGGUUGUAAAGCCAGGUGGUGGGGAAAGAAAAGCAGCAGGUUAAUACCCCGCUGUUCUGACGGUACCCAAAGAAUAAGCACCGGCUAACUUCGUG